Molecule: non-coding RNA, 21 nt
Filed under: Arabidopsis thaliana (thale cress)
Lineage: Eukaryota; Viridiplantae; Streptophyta; Magnoliopsida; Brassicales; Brassicaceae
Also listed under: 2 other names
Source: RNAcentral
GCGGGAGUAACUAUGACUCUC